Molecule: long non-coding RNA, 770 nt
Filed under: Marmota monax (woodchuck)
Lineage: Eukaryota; Metazoa; Chordata; Mammalia; Rodentia; Sciuridae
Source: RNAcentral
GUUCACCACCACUGAGAGCACAUUCCGUACCUUUUGUAGCCUUCUCCGUGUCCAGGGACCGGAUCCUUCUGCGCUCAUGAAAUACUGCUGAGAAGUCGAGUAAUUACUGUCCAGGCAGGAAGGGGUCAAGCUUUGAGGUGAACAUUUGACAACAUUCAGAGGCAGCUUGCCACCGCUUCCCACAGCCCAAGGAAGGGAAGAGUACUUAAUACGUAUCCCCACUUCCUCCAAGUGGAGGCUGACAUUUUCUUGCUGCUUCACCCAGCAGGAGGGACUACCUGGGCUUUAUUAUGACACAGGGCUUUUAGGAUGCAGCAAGGAAGCGACAUUUUUCUCUUCCCGCCUCUGCCCCUGAGCCCCACCCCCUACUCAUUCCCUGGUCACAAGCUUCCUAUGCUUUUGGUAGAAAAAAGGGCAGUGAGGAGAAAAGCGCGCUCCGGCUGAAGUUCACCUUGUGUUCUGCCAGCCUUGGGCAGUCAAUAAACUGCCAUUUGACCUCAGUCUUGCGGGUCAAGGUGAGCAAGCACGUUCCCAGCUGGGCUCCUUUUCGCCUCUGCCCACAUCUUAGACUCUGGCAUCCCUAGCUCAGGGCUUAUCUGCUUCAGAGUUCCCCAGUGGAAGAGCAGUUAACCCUUACCUGUCAGUUCCGUCUAUCCCGGCCCCAAAUUCAGUGGUUUAAUUGCGAAUCCCUGUCUGGAUAGCAAAAGUCAGAGAGACCUGAAGCCGAGUGCAAUACAAGGGGCCACGUGGAGCUGGGAGAUAAAGAAAAC